AAGAGUACGUGAAACCGUUCAGAGGCAAACGGAUGGGACCGCAAGCUCCCUCGUGGAAUUCAACUUCCAGGCCGUUCGUCUCGUCGCCUCUCGGAUCGCAAGACCGGGGACGGCGGGAGCGGGCGUCUGGGGGCGCAUUUUUUGCGAGGGGAGGUCGCGACCGGUUUGGUGCCAGCCUGAAGCCCGGCGGGAAGGUAGCUGUGUCUCGGCGCAGCCUUUAGCCCGCCGGCGUGUUGGCCUGGUGCUGGACCGAGGGACGCCCGCCGCUGCGGGGGCCCCCGCUCCGUCCGCCCGUUCCGACUGGGAGGGACUGUUCUCAGUGCCUUCCGACUGCGGGUGGAUGCGGGACCGGGGACAACCCCUGCCGCUUCUCAGGGUCUGCGGCUGUUCGGUCGGCUCCCUAUCCGACCCGUCUUGAAACACGGACCAAGGAGUCUAACAUGUGCGCGAGUCAUUGGACUCGACGAAAUCUAAAGGCGCAAUGAAGGUGAAGGCCCUCCUCUCGGUGGGCCUAGGUCGGAUCCCCCGCAAGGGGGCGCAAGACUGGCCCGUCUCGAAGGCAUUGUCCUUGAGGCGGAGCAAGAGCGUACACGUUGGGACCCGAAAGAUGGUGAACUAUGCCUGAGUAGGACGAAGCCAGAGGAAACUCUGGUGGAGGUCCGUAGCGAUUCUGACGUGCAAAUCGAUCGUCAAACCUGGGUAUAGGGGCGAAAGACUAAUCGACCAUCUAGUAGCUGGUUCCCU
RNAcentral lists this ribosomal RNA (744 nucleotides) under Leiochrides sp. 3_ST2018. RNAcentral's name for it is "partial 28S rRNA". It matches the Rfam family "Eukaryotic large subunit ribosomal RNA", at positions 391 to 960 of the family's 3401-position model. The record is from RNAcentral. Lineage: Eukaryota; Metazoa; Annelida; Polychaeta; Capitellidae.